CAACAUACUCAUUGAAAUUAUCUUUAAAUUUCCUCCAUGUCUGCCAAAGUGCCUUUGUGCAGGAAGUCGCAUGCAUGAUAAACAUGCUUGAAUCAUCAAAUGAGUUGAAGUAAAACUCAGGUACUGACUGUGGGUAAAGAACAGAAGACUUUCUGAAAACUGUAACAUCUGUGAGUUUGAAAAUGCCAAUCAGUACCCUACUAUCACAGAGGACAGUCAUCAAAUCUUGCAUCUAUUUCUUGCCAUCCGUAUCAGAUUGAAGGCCUGAGCACAUUGCUAUUAAAAUAAUAUUUGUUUCUUUUGCAUAUAUAGUUGUAGAAGAGUUCAGAUGUUAAGUUUACAGUGAGAACGGAGAAACUCUGCGUGCCUUCCGGGUAUUGUCUGUUUUGCUAACACUUUAUAGUAAGGUGGCACAUUUGUUACAGCGAAGCAGCCAAUACUGACCCAUCAAUGAUAACAACAAUCCAGUUUAUUUAAUUCCCUUAAAAUAGACAGUUUUCACUACUGUCUAUUUUCUCUUCCAAGAUUCCAUCCAGGACCUCACGUUCCCUUUGGUUGUGUUUCCUGGGACUCCUCUUGGACUGUGAAAGUGUCUCAGACGUUCCAAGGGCUUGCUGACUCGGAGAAGUUUGAAGAAUAUAGUAUUGGUCUGAUACAUUUCUGUGGUUAGGCAGAGGCUGUGUACAGUUGGGAGGAAGACCAGAGGCGCAAAGUGCCAUCCACGUCACCUCUGAAUGGCACGCACACUCCCUGUGUGACAUGCUGCCAUGACGGUGACUCUGACUGAUCCUACAGCCCCAGGAGCGAUUCCCGCUUUCUGUACCACUAACUUGCUGUUUCUCCUCUUUUCCACACUGUAGUCUUUGAAGGAAGUCACUAUGUACAACACACUUGUGGAAGGCACAGUAUCUGCUCAUGCUUUUUCUGAGAAGAAGAUUGAGAGUGGAAUAAAAAGAAAAAGAGAAUGGCAGGAGAAGCAUCAAUUUUUAUUGUUUUUAUUAUUGCCCUAUAAUUUCUAACUUUCAGAUCCUUUAUUAAAAUA
RNAcentral lists this long non-coding RNA (1042 nucleotides) under Chinchilla lanigera (long-tailed chinchilla). RNAcentral describes it as "lncRNA (ENSCLAG00000028196.1)". The record is from RNAcentral. Lineage: Eukaryota; Metazoa; Chordata; Mammalia; Rodentia; Chinchillidae.